This 453-nucleotide long non-coding RNA is filed under the name Cricetulus griseus (Chinese hamster). RNAcentral's name for it is "lncRNA (ENSCGRG00000025294.1)". Lineage: Eukaryota; Metazoa; Chordata; Mammalia; Rodentia; Cricetidae. The record is from RNAcentral.
UCAGAUUAUAACCUCCGAGACACCUGAUAGUUGACUCUCACAGCAUUUGAUGAAUAAGUGAUGCUCAUUUAACACCUAAGGAUUUGAUUUUCACGAGUAUGGAGCUGACAACAUAGGAGUCAAAUGUCCAAGCCCAUUAAAGUACGGAUUCGAGUUAAGGGGAAAGCAGAACCCGAGUAGCAUCUCCGUCCUGGAAGCUGGAAGAGGCCAGUGUAGAAGCUGAGGUAGUGUCAGUCUUCAGUUGUGGAGUUGUAGCACCGUAGAGCUGGAGUAUAAGCCCUUGGACUUGAAUUGGUCAUGAACCUGAGAAACCCACAUCACUCAGAGUGCUGCCAGGUUUCUCGACUUCUGUCAGGACUUAGCAGGCUUACCGGUUCUACGAGUUUGUCUCCACUACCAGAAUGUGGGCAAGUCAAUUAAAAAAAAAAUUACAAACCUGCCAUAAGAAUAGUG